GACGAACGCUGGCGGCGUGCUUAACACAUGCAAGUCGAACGGAAAGGCCCUGCUUUUGUGGGGUGCUCGAGUGGCGAACGGGUGAGUAACACGUGAGUAACCUGCCCUCGACUUUGGGAUAACUUCAGGAAACUGGGGCUAAUACCGGAUAGGAGCUCCUGCUGCAAGGGGGGGGUUGGAAAGUUUCGGCGGUUGGGGAUGGGCUGGCGGCUUAUCAGCUUGUUGGUGGGGUAGUGGCUUACCAAGGCUUUGACGGGUAGCCGGCCUGAGCGGGUGACCGGCCACAUUAGGACUGAGGUACGGCCCAGAAGACUACGGGAGGCAGCAGUGGGGAAUAUUGCACAGUGGGCGGAAGCCUGCUGCAGCAACGCCGCGUGCGGGAUGACGGCCUUCGGGUUGUAAACCGCUUUCGCCUGUGACGAAGCGUGAGUGACGGUAAUGGGUAAAGAAGCACCGGCUAACUACGUG
This 468-nucleotide ribosomal RNA is filed under the name uncultured bacterium. RNAcentral's name for it is "partial 16S ribosomal RNA". It matches the Rfam family "Bacterial small subunit ribosomal RNA", at positions 28 to 507 of the family's 1533-position model. The record is from RNAcentral.